AGAAGCGCGUUGUUGCAUUCCAGCUCAUGCUUUAUGUAUCUGUUCUCCCAUGCUAUUUGAAGACCUUAUAGCACAGCUCUUACUUCAACCUUAAAAAUGGUGUCAUUGCCUAUCCAUAAUGAAAAGCUACAUAGCCAGUUUGCAUCAGCAUCUCUAAACACAUCCCCAAUAGAAACUCUUGAUCUAUUUUCAUUUUAUAUGUUUGAAAUCUUACUUUUCAGUCCCGCUUGAGCAAAAAAUCAUUGGAUUAGAGAAUCAUAAUCAAGAAUAAAAAGAACCCAUAGAUGAAGGGGUCUAGUAUCAUAUGCACAAAAAUAAGAAAAUUUGAAAUCAGUUCUCUCAAACCAAUAAAAGAUGAAGAAGAUUAUAAUAAAUCAUGUAGAAGCCCAAUUUCGCCCGGGCCAAUUACAAAAUUAAACAAACAACCAAGCCCAAUUGCAAAACAACCCAACAGACCCAAGCCUAAGUGCCAAGAGUCAAACUAGGGUUUCAGUCUGAAACCCUAGCCUUUCUGACACCCAGCGCCGACGCCAUCUGCAGGCUACCCCAUCCCAUCACCUCCUCUGUCGCCGCCCACUUGCCACGGUCAUCUGCAAACAAAGCAAGCAAAACAGGAGCAAUAUAGAUAGCAGAAAAAAUGAAAAAAAACAAUAGAAAAAAUGUUGUAUCUACUUGGCUAUAAAAAGCCUGGAUAUCAGCCUUGUAAUGGUCUUCUUCCUUUUUUUACAAAAAAGUGAAUAAAAAACAAAGAAAAGCGGAUCAAAGAAAAAGCAAAGAGGUUGAUUCCAAAGUUCUUUUUUUCGCUGUUCUUGUUAUUUUGUUUCUACUUUCUGUUUUUUUGUUUAUUUGUUACUAUUCUUUGAAAUAAAAAAAAAACGAAACGAAAGGGAAAAGAAAAAAGGAUAUUCACCUGUCUCGAAAGCCCGUUGCCGGAGACUAUUUUUGGCGUUGGAAUCGGACUGAAAGGGGUAUGAAAAACCCCUCCUUUUUUGAAUUUUCGGGGUUAAAAGGGUAGAUCUUAAGUGGGGGUCGAGGACGGGGUACAAAGGCGACCGUUCGGUGCCUCUGACCACCGCGCGUGGUGGAGCCGGUGGCGGCCCGUUCGGCCAAGAAAAGGGGGUGGCUGAGAUUUUUUUUCUUUUUUUGUUUCUCUGAAAUUUUUUGUUAAAA
This 1170-nucleotide long non-coding RNA is filed under the name Gossypium barbadense (sea-island cotton). RNAcentral's name for it is "long non-coding RNA (GBAR_LNC016743)". Lineage: Eukaryota; Viridiplantae; Streptophyta; Magnoliopsida; Malvales; Malvaceae. The record is from RNAcentral.